CCUACGGGAGGCAGCAGUGGGGAAUAUUGCAUAAUGGGCGAAAGCCUGAUGCAGCCACGCCGCGUGAGCGAUGAAGGCCCUCGGGUCGUAAAGCUCUGUCCUCAAGGAGGAUACUGACGGUACUUGAGGAGGACGCCCCGGCUAACUACGUGCCAGCAGCCGCGGUAAUACGUAGGGGGCUAGCGUUAUCCGGAAUUACUGGGCGUAAAGGGUGCGUAGGUGGGUUCUUAAGUCAGAGGUAAAAGGCUACGGCUCAACCGUAGUAAGCCUUUGAAACUGGGAAACUUGAGUGCAGAAGAGGAGAGUGGAAUUCGUGGUGUAGCGGUGAAAUGCGUAGAUAUUAGGAGGAACACCAGUUGCGAAGGCAGCUCUCUGGAGUGUAACUGACACUGAGGCACGAAGGCGUGGGGAGCAAACAGGAUUAGAUACCCGAGUAGUC
RNAcentral lists this ribosomal RNA (439 nucleotides) under uncultured bacterium. RNAcentral describes it as "partial 16S ribosomal RNA". It matches the Rfam family "Bacterial small subunit ribosomal RNA", at positions 338 to 795 of the family's 1533-position model. The record is from RNAcentral.